AGUGCUAGCUCGCCGAGGCCGCCUCCGGGGACCACCUGGCUUCAUGUGUGGAUUUGCACGGCUCUUGCCCAGAGGCGGGUACACUGUGUUCCAGUGUGCCACAGAACUCACGCAGUGGCACUUUGUGGCUUCAUGAAGGAAGAGGCAGGCCACGCAACACUUCCUCCCCAAGCCAAGGAGAAGUAUCACUUUUAGAGGCAGAGGAGCGGAAGGCAGUGGGGUGACCAAAAGUGCCAUUUAUUAAAGCUUAUCUUCCUUGCCAGAUUUUAAAAACUAUUAUGGAAAAUUUCAAGCAUUCAUAAAAGUAGAGAGAAAGAAAGGACUCUGAGGGGACUCUCCCUCUAAAAAUAGCUCUUAGAAAAGCCAUGUUCCCAGGACUGGGUGCAGUGGCUCACACCUGUAAUCCCAGCACUUUGGGAGGCCAAGGUGGAUGGAUCGCUUGAGGCCAGGAGUUCAAGACCAGCCUGGACAACAUGGCACCAAGGGGAGAAAAGAGGAAAUAUCCAUGUGAAGGAUGUGGAGCUGAGCACCUGGGCGGAGACCCCACGCUACCACUUACUAGUCGUGUGGGCUUUGGCAAG
This 581-nucleotide small RNA is filed under the name Pongo abelii (Sumatran orangutan). RNAcentral describes it as "processed transcript". The record is from RNAcentral. Lineage: Eukaryota; Metazoa; Chordata; Mammalia; Primates; Hominidae.